This 253-nucleotide ribosomal RNA is filed under the name uncultured bacterium. RNAcentral's name for it is "partial 16S ribosomal RNA". It matches the Rfam family "Bacterial small subunit ribosomal RNA", at positions 524 to 776 of the family's 1533-position model. The record is from RNAcentral.
UACGAGGGGGGCAAGCGUUGUUCGGAAUUAUUGGGCGUAAAGCGCGCGCAGGUGGUUUCUUAAGUCUGAUGUGAAAGCCCACGGCUCAACCGUGGAGGGUCAUUGGAAACUGGGAGACUUGAGUGCAGAAGAGGAAAGUGGAAUUCCAUGUGUAGCGGUGAAAUGCGUAGAGAUAUGGAGGAACACCAGUGGCGAAGGCGACUUUCUGGUCUGUAACUGACACUGAGGCGCGAAAGCGUGGGGAGCAAACAGG